Molecule: non-coding RNA, 81 nt
Organism: Colletotrichum gloeosporioides
Lineage: Eukaryota; Fungi; Ascomycota; Sordariomycetes; Glomerellales; Glomerellaceae
Source: Rfam
GCGCCGAUGGUUUAGUGGUAAAAUUCUCCGUUGCCACCCAGCAGCGUCGGGGAGCCGGGGGUUCGAUUCCCCCUCGGCGCA